Molecule: ribosomal RNA, 254 nt
Filed under: uncultured bacterium
Lineage: Bacteria
Description: partial 16S ribosomal RNA
Rfam family: Bacterial small subunit ribosomal RNA
Source: RNAcentral
UACGUAGGCAGCGAGCGUUGUUCGGAGUUACUGGGCGUAAAGGGUGCGUAGGCGGUUGUUUAAGUUUGGUGUGAAAUCUCCCGGCUCAACCGGGAGGGUGCGCCGAAAACUGGGAGACUAGAGUGCGGGAUGGGAGAGUAGAAUUCCUGGUGUAGCGGUGAAAUGCGCAGAUAUCAGGAGGAACACCGAUGGCGAAGGCAGAUCUCUGGGCCGUAACUGACGCUGAGGAGCGAAAGCGUGGGGGAGCGAACAGG